This 61-nucleotide transfer RNA is filed under the name Araucaria subulata. RNAcentral describes it as "partial tRNA-Val". The record is from RNAcentral. Lineage: Eukaryota; Viridiplantae; Streptophyta; Pinopsida; Araucariales; Araucariaceae.
GGGCUAUAGCUCAGCAAGGUAGAGCACCUCGUUUACACACCGAGAAGGUCUACGGUUCGAG